CACUUUAAUCGAUUUCUUCGGAUUGAAAUUUAGUGACUGAGUGGCGGACGGGUGAGUAACGCGUGGGUAACCUGCCUUGUACAGGGGGAUAACAGUUGGAAACGACUGCUAAUACCGCAUAAGCGCACAGUACCGCAUGGUACGGUGUGAAAAACUCCGGUGGUGUGAGAUGGACCCGCGUCUGAUUAGCCAGUUGGCGGGGUAACGGCCCACCAAAGCGACGAUCAGUAGCCGGCCUGAGAGGGUGAACGGCCACAUUGGGACUGAGACACGGCCCAGACUCC
This 284-nucleotide ribosomal RNA is filed under the name uncultured Lachnospiraceae bacterium. RNAcentral describes it as "partial 16S ribosomal RNA". The stretch from base 46 to 284 matches the Rfam family "Bacterial small subunit ribosomal RNA", at positions 100 to 339 of the family's 1533-position model. The record is from RNAcentral. Lineage: Bacteria; Bacillati; Bacillota; Clostridia; Lachnospirales; Lachnospiraceae.